This 471-nucleotide ribosomal RNA is filed under the name Triticum aestivum (bread wheat). Its description in RNAcentral is "partial small subunit ribosomal RNA". The record is from RNAcentral. Lineage: Eukaryota; Viridiplantae; Streptophyta; Magnoliopsida; Poales; Poaceae.
AUGGAGCCCAAGCAGCCGGCGGCCAACCUCGCCGCCGCCGCCGCCGAGCCGGAGGAGGACGAGGCGGACGAGGAGACGGAGGACGCGCUGCUGGACCGCGCGCAGGCCCUCAUCUCCCGCGCCGUCGAGCAGGAGGCCAACCCCAACCUGCCGCACGGCGACUCCUCGCGCUCCAGCCGCCGCGUACCUCAACGUCGGGGCAACAUGACCAUCGCAGCCAAGGCUGGAGUCACGUUGGAAAUCCCAAACGGGGCUGUGCUCGAGAACAAGAGGCUCACAGUUAAACAAGAAGGCCAGGCUCCAGCCAGUGAUGUUGAGGCUGCCUAUACAACACAGACCCAUGCCACUUACAACAAUCACGGAGCAAUGGGAAAUGAUGAGCUCCUGCUUCUUUUUAUGCCGGUUCAGGAGUGUAGGAAGUGGUUCCUCGCCGGUUGGACGUCAUUCAACCGCAGCUCUGGCACCCACUGA